Molecule: long non-coding RNA, 1285 nt
Filed under: Lynx canadensis (Canada lynx)
Lineage: Eukaryota; Metazoa; Chordata; Mammalia; Carnivora; Felidae
Description: lncRNA (ENSLCNG00005000787.1)
Source: RNAcentral
CGGAGCCCUAACAUGAGUUUGUCUGUUUAUAAUAGAUGAAAAACGUCAUGUUAUUUCUUAGUGACAUUCUCUUUCCUUGGCUCUCAGAGGACUGACUCUCUAUUUUGACUUGGUCCACAUAAGCGGUUUCCUUGCACGUUGUUUAAAAGAAGUAACUUCCCUGUAGUAAUACAACUCCCAGAAUACCUUUCACCAAAGCAAUUCCUAAAGGGGUGUGGCUUCUGGUGCAAAACUGCUGAAAGUCCCAGAGGUGAAUUACACAAUCAGAUUCUGAGGCAGUGACAGACUUUGUUUUCCUUCAAAUUUCUACUUCCUGAAACCAAGGCUCUUUAUGAUAAACAGUGUAUUUCAGGGAAAUUGUGCUAAAAUUAACCUUUUUCAGAGAUUUGCUGGCCUUAAAAGUGUUUAUCUUCGAGACAAAGUUUUAGUUACUUACAAUCAACCACUGCCAGAAGCAGAUGAUCUUCUUUAUGACGCUUCCUCACACGCCUGAGUCAUUCACCUCACUUCAUCUCAUCACAUAGACGUUUUACUGUCUCACAUCAUCACAAGAAGAACAGUGAGUAGUAUAUAGGCAUAUCUCAUUUUAUUAUGCUUUGGUUUAUUGCGCUUUUCAGAUACUGAGUUUUUUACAAACUGAAGGUUUGUAGCAACCCUGGUUCAAACAAGUCUGUCAGCGCUGUUUUUCCAACAGCAUUUGUUCACAAUUUUGUCUGUCAUGUUUUGGUAAUUCUCUUGAAAGUUUCAAACCUUGUCAUUAUUGUGAUAUUGUCAUGGUGAUCUGUGAUUAGUGAUUACAACUUACCGAAAGCUCAGAUGAUGGUUAGCAUUUUCUAGCAAUAAGGUAUUUUUUUCAUUUUGGUGUGUCAUGUUUUGGUAAUUCUCUUGAAAGUUUCAAACCUUGUCAUUAUUGUGAUGUUGUCAUGGUGAUCUGUGAUUAGUGAUUACAACUUACCGAAAGCUCAGAUGAUGGUUAGCAUUUUCUAGCAAUAAAGUAUUUUUUUCAUUUUGGUGUGUACAUGUUUUUAGGCAUAAUGCUAUUGCACACUUAGUAGACUAAAGUAUAGUAUAAACAUAACUUCUAUAUGCACUGGGAAACCAAAAAGUUCAUUUGACUCGCUUUAUUGCAGUAUUUGCUCUAUUGCAGCAGUCUGGAAACUGAACCUGAAAUACCUUCACAAUAUGCUUCUACAAUAAGAUAUUUUCAGAGAGAGAGACCACAUUCACAUAUGUUUUUAUACAGUAUAUUAUUAUAACUGUUUUAUUUUAUUAUUGUUGUUAUUCU